GAGAGCUUGCUCUCGGGUGACGAGUGGCGGACGGGUGAGUAAUGUCUGGGAAACUGCCUGAUGGAGGGGGAUAACUACUGGAAACGGUAGCUAAUACCGCAUAACGUCGCAAGACCAAAGAGGGGGACCUUCGGGCCUCUUGCCAUCAGAUGUGCCCAGAUGGGAUUAGCUAGUAGGUGGGGUAACGGCUCACCUAGGCGACGAUCCCUAGCUGGUCUGAGAGGAUGACCAGCCACACUGGAACUGAGACACGGUCCAGACUCCUACGGGAGGCAGCAGUGGGGAAUAUUGCACAAUGGGCGCAAGCCUGAUGCAGCCAUGCCGCGUGUAUGAAGAAGGCCUUCGGGUUGUAAAGUACUUUCAGCGGGGAGGAAGGUGUUGUGGUUAAUAACCGCAGCAAUUGACGUUACCCGCAGAAGAAGCACCGGCUAACUCCGUGCCAGCAGCCGCGGUAAUACGGAGGGUGCAAGCGUUAAUCGGAAUUACUGGGCGUAAAGCGCACGCAGGCGGUCUGUCAAGUCGGAUGUGAAAUCCCCGGGCUCAACCUGGGAACUGCAUUCGAAACUGGCAGGCUAGAGUCUUGUAGAGGGGGGUAGAAUUCCAGGUGUAGCGGUGAAAUGCGUAGAGAUCUGGAGGAAUACCGGUGGCGAAGG
This 653-nucleotide ribosomal RNA is filed under the name uncultured bacterium. Its description in RNAcentral is "bacterial SSU rRNA". It matches the Rfam family "Bacterial small subunit ribosomal RNA", at positions 74 to 721 of the family's 1533-position model. The record is from RNAcentral.